RNAcentral lists this transfer RNA (71 nucleotides) under Marmota marmota marmota (Alpine marmot). It matches the Rfam family "tRNA". Rfam says of the family: Transfer RNA (tRNA) molecules are approximately 80 nucleotides in length. RNAcentral also lists the same sequence under 1 other name. Lineage: Eukaryota; Metazoa; Chordata; Mammalia; Rodentia; Sciuridae. The record is from Rfam by way of RNAcentral.
GUGGCUGUGGCUCAGUGGUAGAGUACCUGCCUUGCAUGUGUGUGGCACUGAGUUCAAUCCUUAGCACUACA